AGGACAGUUUACCACUUCACUUAUAAGAACUGUAUGGUCAGAGCUGUGGGAGCCUUAAUGUUAAUCAGUGUGAAGAAAAAUGAUGGACGUGCAAGUUCUGCGUCAACUACUAGAUGUACGCAGAUUACGAGUCGAGCGCCCUAACCAUCUGGCCCUGCCGGGCAUUUUACCAAGUAAUCUAAAAAGUAACCGCCAAACGAUAGAACAUGUUACAACAGUAUUAAACAUAUCAAUCUAUAAGAAGCAAAGCGUUUGAAAAAAUUAUCGUUUUUCUGUUUGUCUAAAAAUGACAAAAACAAAUGCAUACAACGGAGAAAUACUACGUAAUAUUGUUGUGUACUGACUGGCCUAGACAGACAAUACCACUUUGUGUUUGGUUCUACAAUGUCCAGCUGCUGGAGGUAAACUGCAUGUAUAUAAAUACCACAACACAUCCUUUCCCCCCUAGACAGCAGUUAUGAGUUUACUUAGCUACCCAGUAACUCGUUGUCGUCGCUGAUGAGCGAACAGAAACAAACCAGGCGUUGCUGAUAUAAUAUGUUACUCUUCAGCGGUUGACAUUUCCACGAGUUUUACAAGCGCGGUGGUGUCUAUCAUUGUGAUUUUUUAUGGUACCAAGAAGACGGGUGUGCAUUGACUUCGAGGCUUCUAACACAUCUAUGUGUAAUUAAAUGAACUUCCUUGGAAGAAAUUUUACGUAUAGCUACAUCUCUUACGUAUAUGUCGAAAGUUUAGUACGAAGCAUUUUUUACUAUCGGUAUCACAGAACCAAACGGACUAAGUACUACUAUAAAAUAUUUGUAAGCAAUAAGUCGAUCAAGUGAUUAAAACACGCACUUGUACUAUACCAGAGGAUGAAAUCUGCAUAGAAAAAAAGGAAAAAACUUCAAAAAAACGUUGGAAUUGAAAAGUUCUACUUCCCUGAGUAAUGAGUUUUAUUUCUUAACCGACUUCUCAUGGAAACCGGGGAACCAACUGAUUACAAAGGGAAUUGUACAGAAAUGGUAGAUUCCACACCUCAAGCAAAUGUUCAAGCUCUUAGGGCAUUGUUUGCCCAAAGAAAUGACCCUGUAAUGGGAGUGAUGCAAGUAGGCUCACGAUUAACUUCUAUCCGGAAUUCUUCAUAUGAAAAAAAUACUGAAGAGAAAAUUACCAAGCCAUCAGUUAAUGAAAAUUCCAGUAUGAAACCUAAUGUUGGUUAUCCUAUGGGAAAGUCUGUAUCCACUAGUUCCAUACUUAUUGCAAAGUCAAAUUUGUUUACUAAAACAAAUACACUACCAGUUCAACAAAGUUCAGCAUCUGUAGUAUCCAAUGGCUCAACCUCAGAGUCUAGUCCUGUGGGUUCUAGCAAACCUAAGCCAAUUCUGGGACCAAAGCCAACAAUUGCUGUCAAGCCUGUGAAAUCAUUUUCAUCAUCCUCAGUUGGGAACAGUAGUUCUGGUAAGGCUACUAACAGUAUGUGUAUAUCAAGAAGUAGUAGCUCGUUAAACAGUCAGUCAACAGACAGCAUUGCUUCGGGUAAUGCAGAAGAGGUGGAUGAACAGAAAAACUGUAAUAAUGUUUCUGAAACUAUUACUCAAUCUAAUCUUCAGUCUGAUAAUCCACCUGUUGUAUCAUUUACAGUGAAGUUACCUUAUGAAAAUAAUACAGAUGGUAUUAAACAAAGUGGAAACAACUCAAAUGCAUCACCUAAGAGUGUUCUUAAACAUUUUGACUCUUCUAGUGUAAUUAAUUCAGAAAACUAUAUAUGUAAAGCAAACUUACGUUAUCGAAAGAAACUUUUACCUCCAGUAGAAAAACUAGGAAAUCCUCCAUUGAAAGCACCAAAAGCCUUUCAGUGUUGUUCUUCCCACUCCAGAUAUGUCCACAUUUAGAAAUAAAGGAACUGCACCCCCUCUUCCAUCAAGGACAGUUCCAUCAUCUGUGCAAAAUAGUGUACCAGAACUUCCUCAGCGACCAAAAAGACUUCCCCCUCGUCCUCCAAUAUUAGAAUCAAAUCAUCCUGUUACAUCACAGCCAUAUCCUGUUCCUGCAGUAAGGAGAAAAAAACUGCCAAUGCUGCCAGACAGUGAAUCUCACUCUGCAGAAGAGGAGUUGUAUGAAGACACCAUUGUAAAUGAAAAUUCAGAACCAGUGAUUCCAGAAUAUACAGAAGAACAAGAAGCUGAAGAUGAGUUGUAUGAUGAUACAGACAUGCAACCCCCUCCACUUCCUAGCCAACCACCACCUUCUAGGCCAAGAUAUGCACCACCACCACCACCUCCUUCAGGCAGUAUUGGCCUUGAUAACACCUUGGGAGAGGAACUCUACCAGGAUGCUAUGGAUCAGAAUCCAGUUGAAGAAGAUCUUUAUGAAGAGAUGCCUGCUGAUACAAUUUCAAAUGAUGAAGCAAAUGGGCCUAUGUACAGUAACCGAAAAGAAGAACUGCGAUUUAAGAAAGAAGAAGAGAAACAACGGAGAAAAGAACAGAAGGAAAAGGAAAAGAAAGACAGAGAGCUUGAAAAACUUAGGAAAAAAUAUUUGAUAACAGGUGACGAAUUACCAGUGGAUACUGGGGUGGUCAAGUGUGACAGUCGAGGAGGACGGUUAGACUUAACAGUUAAAAAAGGUGAAGUCCUGGAAAUAUUGCGCAUGGAAAACAAUCCCUCAGGAAAAUGGCUUGUACGAAAUGACCGAGCAAAAAUUGGGUAUGUGGAACUGACAAACAUUCAAGUUGAUGCCAACUCAAUAAAAUCUGAUUCUCUCCCAUCGAGAACAAAGACGUCAACUGUCCACCCUCUGGUUGAUCUUGCCAGUGAGAGAGCCCAAACAUGGUUGGCUAAGUUAACUGCCUGUGUGAGGUAAUGGUGACAAGAGCGUCCAUGCAGAAUUUGGCUGAAGAAUUGUAUAAUGAUGCUGAAACAGAAGAAGCAUUAUAUGAAGAAACCUUUUGAA
Molecule: RNA transcript, 2934 nt
Organism: Limulus polyphemus (Atlantic horseshoe crab)
Lineage: Eukaryota; Metazoa; Arthropoda; Merostomata; Xiphosura; Limulidae
Gene name: phosphatase and actin regulator 4B-like
Exons: 13
Source: RefSeq, a predicted model, not a curated record